This 253-nucleotide ribosomal RNA is filed under the name uncultured bacterium. RNAcentral describes it as "partial 16S ribosomal RNA". It matches the Rfam family "Bacterial small subunit ribosomal RNA", at positions 524 to 776 of the family's 1533-position model. The record is from RNAcentral.
GACAGAGGUGCCGAGCGUUAGGCGGAAUCACUGGGCUUAAAGCGUGUGUAGGCGGGUGCCUAAGUACCUUGUGAAAUCCCACGGCUCAACCGUGGAACUGCUUGGUAUACUGGGUGCCUUGAGCCACUUAGGGGCAACCGGAACAAACGGUGGAGCGGUGAAAUGCGUAGAUAUCGAGAGGAACACCUGCGGCGAAGGCGGGUUGCUGGGCUGACACUGACGCUAAGGCGCGAAAGCUAGGGGAGCGAACGGG